Molecule: RNA transcript, 3146 nt
Organism: Felis catus (domestic cat)
Lineage: Eukaryota; Metazoa; Chordata; Mammalia; Carnivora; Felidae
Gene name: membrane-spanning 4-domains subfamily A member 6D
Exons: 15
Source: RefSeq, a predicted model, not a curated record
UUGCUGAAGAUGCUAGGAGUUUGGGGAAAAAAGGAAGUGCAAGCACAUUUCACAAAUCCACAAUCUGUAAGUAUCACAUCCUGUGUGGCUAUAAACUCUGGACUGAGGAAGGGCUGGUGAUUUUCAAAAGGUGAAGACUAGUAGAAAAUUCUACAGGACUGUGUGAGAACCGAGAGUCUCCUGGGAGUUUGAGAGACCUCAGCUGCAACCAACAGGCUGGUCCACGGGCACAGGGUUCGUGACACAAUCAUGCUAUCACGGUCCAUGACCAAUGAGGCCAUUGCAGUUCUGACACCAAAUGGCAUCAGCUUCCCCCAAACAGGGGAAACUAAACCCACCAACCAGAGGCAAUACAACCUCAAGAAACAACUAAAGACAGAGGUCAAAGUUCUUGGGGCUAUUCAGAUCCUGUGCGGGGUGAUGGUGUUGAGUUUGGGGAUCAUUUUGGUAUCUGUUCCGUCCUCUCCAUCCUUUACCCCGGUGUUUUCCACCCUUUUGAAGUCUGCUUACCCAUUCAUGGGAGGCUUGUGUUUUAUCAUUUCUGGAACUCUGUCAGUCAUCAUGGAGAAAAAGUCAACUAAGCCUUUGGUUCAGAGCAGCGUGGUUGCAAACAUUCUGAGCUCUCUAUGUGCUCUGGUGGGUUUCAUUCUCCUCUCUGUCACGUUGGAUGCUGUGGAUCCUGCCUUUCGGAAGUGUACCUUCAACAAAGAGCAAAGAAAACCUGAAUGGACUACAUUUAGCUAUUUUAUUAACCCAUAUAUGGACAAACAAUGCAUCACGGCCAAAACCACUCUGACUGGAACUCUGUCUGUGAUGCUGAUUUACACGGUGCUGGAGUUCUGCCUGGCUGUGCUCUCUGCCGUGAUUUGGUGGAAACAGGCUCACUCUGACUUCCCUGGGCGUGUGCUUUUCCUGCCUCAGAGUUGCAAGAAUAAAUCCAGCACACCCUCAAAGGCAUUUCAUGACCCUGGAUACGAAGAACUAGUAACUUCUUAGGGGAAAUAGUCAUCAGAAAUUUGGCUUUAUGAUACUGUAUGAAGACCAGCCAGAGAAACUCAAGAAAGUAAAGUUUGAGUUCCCUGAAAUGUAGCAUUUAGGGGCCAGGGGGGUGGACUGAAAGUUCCAAUCCUCUCAUCAAUCAUAAGAGGGGCCAAGGGCAGGGGCAACUCCAUGAAAGAUAUGAAACACAAGGUUGCAAACCAGAACAGCUUGCUACUUAAAACCCACCGGCAGCCUGGGAUAGACAUCAAGCUGAAGAAAUAGAAACUCGGAGAACGUACCUGAACUGUCCAAAGCCACCGAGCAAGUAACAGGAAGUCGCGAUUCGCGCAAGGGUGUGCCUGACCUGAAGGUAUGCAUUCUUCCAGUCCAAUCCACAGCUUUUUUUUUGCAGAUAUGUGAGAAACAACGGAGGCGUCCGCUCUACAGUGGUGAACAUCUUGGGUUUCUAGAAAGUAAUGAGUGAUGUCGUUGCUACUGAGGGGACUGCUGAGGGCAUUUCAACAAAUGAAAUUCAAAGUGCGCAGGUCGAACGAGCAGACGCACCCGAUUUAGCUCAACGUCUACACAGCAAGCUGCGUGAUUUCCUUAAAAAGAAUCUGCAAUCCCUGGGUGUAAGUUACCUUUAGCCCUGUAGACGUUAGGAGGUGAGUAUGGAAAAUUAAAUGGUCUACAACUUUAUUGGGGGUGAAUUAUUUUAUGCCAGCUCAUAAGACUGGGUAAAAAGUGGGUAAGAAAAUAUAUCUGGGAGUACACUUAGGUCAGAUGUUUUGCUUUGAAGGUGUUUCAGGCUCCCAGAGUUCAAAUGGGAUGUUGUGCCCAAAUAUAAUAUCCCCAUGACGUAAUAUCCAUCCACAGGGCCUGGGAAACCAACACCAUUUUUUUUUUUUUUUUUUUUGGAUUUCACUCUUCCGAGGAUUAUUUUUAAGACCCAGUGAAGGUGGAAAAGAUAAAAUGCGAUUCGUAUGUGGCCUUGAGAUCGAGGGAGGAAAGUCUGUAAUGUAGAGAGUUUUUCCACUUCCCCCCUGUAUUCUAUUUUUGUUUCUCCAGGUAGCUCAGAUAAUGAUUGGCCUGAAAUGUUUCUUUUUUGGGAUCACUGAGAUUUUUCUUUACUGGCACUCUGACUUAAGGAAUCUUUUAUUCUGCUUUUAUAUUGGUUACCCGUUCUGGGCUGCAGCAUCUUUCAUCAUGUCUGGAUCUUUGACCAUCUCAUGUGCAAGAAAACAAACAAAAUUUCUGAUCGAAGUCAGUAUUGGAGCUAACAUUAUCAGCACACUACUUUCAAGCAGUGGGAUAAUUCUUCUCUCCGUGAAUUUAGUUGACAUAGUCUUACUUGAAUGCUGGGAGUUACCGGCGUGUUCGUUGGUUAAAUCUUUCAUAACUAAUAUUGUGAUCCUUCAAAUGAUACUGACUUGUGUGCAGAUUUUUAUUUCGUUCUCACUCUGUGGGCUCACUUAUACCGUGGAUGGCAAGGAGAUCAGCUGGGCUUCUGCACUAAGUUGCUUGAUCAGAUCACAUUCUGAAGAUCCUUAUCAAGACUUACUGACUCAACCUGAAACUUACGAAGAUUUAGUGCUUCAAGACAUAGACCAGGUUCACUCUCAUCCAUGAGACACCAUCGAAACAUUUCUUACCACACCAGGGCAUCUUGGAUCCAUGAUGGCAACCAAAGACAGAUCUGAUAGGAAUCUUCUACAAAUCCCCUGCUCCCCAUGUCUUUUAUUAUGCACUUUCACAUACACAGACACAAUUAGCACGGAUAUGUGCUUAAUUUCACAGGUGACCAGCACAUACUAAUAUUAGCAUUCCGUGGCCUAUUAGACCUCUUUUCAUUGGGACGGGAUUACCAUUUUUGAGCCAAUUUCAGUUCUUAGGCCUCAGAGAGGAAUUUGUUGUUACCCACUUACUCCUUCCUAGAAACUGUACUUCCCUCUGGGUUGACAGUUUAUUCAAAUGAAAAAUCUUUGUGCAAAUAGUUUGGGUGAGUAGUGGCAUACCAUCUGACACUGGGUCCAAUCUAAGUUUCUUUGACUGUUGAAUGUACUAGGUCUCCCUUGCUUGUGUCAAGGUGAACUUGACAAAAUGUAAUGCGAUACAAAAUGCACACUCUAAUGUAUGGCACAUAGUAAAAAUCUAAUGCAACCUCA